RNAcentral lists this ribosomal RNA (999 nucleotides) under Triticum aestivum (bread wheat). RNAcentral's name for it is "partial small subunit ribosomal RNA". Lineage: Eukaryota; Viridiplantae; Streptophyta; Magnoliopsida; Poales; Poaceae. The record is from RNAcentral.
AUGGACGAAAGCCCCCAGUGCCGCACCGGCGUUGGCGCCGGAGUCCGCCUGAAGCAGAAACUCGCACAGCUCCUCGUGCGUUCUUCUUGCAUCACCAACGCCACCAAGACCACAACCACCCCGGCCACGGCCUUCGUUAGCCUCGAUAAGGCCGACACCAACCCCCACCAAGAGCCACGACAUUCCCCUGACUUGUGCACCCACUGCACCUAUCAGAGGCCCAACCUUGUGGAAGGCAGCCGCCACCGUCAUCGCAGCGCGUCGGUCGUCCACGCCUCCGUCGACUACCCAGGUAGGGUCUCCGGUCGCCGUCCUGUUCACUCCAUUGUUCCUCUCCUGCCGCCAUCGGUGCAGACGAACGAUGCAAAGAAGAGCACGGGUGCACGCUCUAGGUCGGUGUCAAGGCGGCAUCGCUCAAACUCCUCUUGUCGGCGUCUGCGGCGGCCGCGGAUGAACUCCGUGCCUUACAGCUGCUCUUCGUCCACCGCGACCGACGACGAAAGCGGCGAGGAUGCUGAGACGACGACGCUCUUCUCGUCCCUCAGCUUCUCCUCCGACUCGACCUCCGAGUUUUACCACACCAACAGUGCCAAUGCCUCCAGGAAGAGCCACCGGAACGCGCCCCGCAGAGCGCCCCGGCGCGCGUUGCCAAGUGCCAGGGACCCACCCGAUGCCUUGCAACCGCGGGUUAACUUGGCGACGAAGCACCGCCAGUGCAAGAACAGCAAAAGAGAGGAGGAUGCGAAUGCGAUCAAGAAGAUGCUCGUGGAAGAAACCGGGGCCAUUGGCGUGGGCAUGGCGGUGGUGAAGCGAUCGAGCAAUCCAUACGCAGACUUCCGGAGCUCGAUGGUGGAGAUGGUCGUGGAGCGUCGUAUCGCCAGCGUGGGGAAGAUGGAGGAGCUCCUGGAGUCGUACCUCUCGCUCAACUCGCCGGAGCACCACCCGGCAAUCAUCGCCGCCUUCGAGGACGUCUGGGAGGCCGUCUUCGGCGAGGCGUGA